UAAAUACUGUUUUUUCAAAAC
This 21-nucleotide non-coding RNA is filed under the name Caenorhabditis elegans. Lineage: Eukaryota; Metazoa; Nematoda; Chromadorea; Rhabditida; Rhabditidae. The record is from RNAcentral.